RNAcentral lists this ribosomal RNA (433 nucleotides) under uncultured bacterium. RNAcentral's name for it is "partial 16S ribosomal RNA". It matches the Rfam family "Bacterial small subunit ribosomal RNA", at positions 29 to 507 of the family's 1533-position model. The record is from RNAcentral.
AACGAACGCUGGCGGCAUGCCUAACACAUGCAAGUCGAACGAGACCUUCGGGUCUAGUGGCGCACGGGUGCGUAACGCGUGGGAACCUGCCCUUAGGUUCGGAAUAACUCCCCGAAAGGGGUGCUAAUACCGGAUAAUGUCUUCGGACCAAAGAUUUAUCGCCUUUGGAUGGGCCCGCGUUGGAUUAGCUAGUUGGUAGGGUAAAAGCCUACCAAGGCGACGAUCCAUAGCUGGUCUGAGAGGAUGAUCAGCCACACUGGGACUGAGACACGGCCCAGACUCCUACGGGAGGCAGCAGUGGGGGAUAUUGGACAAUGGGCGAAAGCCUGAUCCAGCAAUGCCGCGUGAGUGAUGAAGGCCUUAGGGUUGUAAAGCUCUUUUAACCGGGAUGAUAAUGACAGUACCGGGAGAAUAAGCUCCGGCUAACUCCGUG